UUGGCCGAGUGGUCUAAGGCGCUGGCUUUAGGCGCCAGUCCGAAAGGGCGUGGGUUCGAACCCCACAG
Molecule: transfer RNA, 68 nt
Filed under: Perkinsus olseni
Lineage: Eukaryota; Perkinsozoa; Perkinsida; Perkinsidae
Description: tRNA-Leu
Rfam family: tRNA
About the family: Transfer RNA (tRNA) molecules are approximately 80 nucleotides in length. Their secondary structure includes four short double-helical elements and three loops (D, anti-codon, and T loops). Further hydrogen bonds mediate the characteristic L-shaped molecular structure. tRNAs have two regions of fundamental functional importance: the anti-codon, which is responsible for specific mRNA codon recognition, and the 3' end, to which the tRNAs corresponding amino acid is attached (by aminoacyl-tRNA synthetases). tRNAs cope with the degeneracy of the genetic code in two manners: having more than one tRNA (with a specific anti-codon) for a particular amino acid; and 'wobble' base-pairing, i.e. permitting non-standard base-pairing at the 3rd anti-codon position.
Source: RNAcentral